Molecule: non-coding RNA, 208 nt
Organism: Podarcis muralis (Common wall lizard)
Lineage: Eukaryota; Metazoa; Chordata; Lepidosauria; Squamata; Lacertidae
Source: RefSeq, a predicted model, not a curated record
UCGCCAUUUUGAGAGUGGCUGGUCAUGGAGAAGCAGAGCUCAGAAGAGCAUAAGCACUUGCUUGAUUUGAUCAACAGGGAAGCAUAAGGCUGGCUCAGAUAUUAGCUCUUCUACUCCCCUCAUUGCAGGUGCUGAUUUCCCCCACCUUGUGUUACUGCAUUUGUUUUGUUACUGCUGAAUUACCUUCGGUUUGCCUUUGAUUCGAUGC